GAUGAACGUUGGCGGCGUGCCUAAUACAUGCAAGUCGAGCGAACAGACGAGGAGCUUGCUCCUCUGACGUUAGCGGCGGACGGGUGAGUAACACGUGGAUAACCUACCUAUAAGACUGGGAUAACUUCGGGAAACCGGAGCUAAUACCGGAUAAUAUAUUGAACCGCAUGGUUCAAUAGUGAAAGACGGUUUUGCUGUCACUUAUAGAUGGAUCCGCGCCGCAUUAGCUAGUUGGUAAGGUAACGGCUUACCAAGGCAACGAUGCGUAGCCGACCUGAGAGGGUGAUCGGCCACACUGGAACUGAGACACGGUCCAGACUCCUACGGGAGGCAGCAGUAGGGAAUCUUCCGCAAUGGGCGAAAGCUUGACGGAGCAACGCCGCGUGAGUGAUGAAGGUCUUCGGAUCGUAAAACUCUGUUAUUAGGGAAGAACAAAUGUGUAAGUAACUAUGCACGUCUUGACGGUACCUAAUCAGAAAGCCACGGCUAACUACGUG
This 497-nucleotide ribosomal RNA is filed under the name uncultured bacterium. Its description in RNAcentral is "partial 16S ribosomal RNA". It matches the Rfam family "Bacterial small subunit ribosomal RNA", at positions 28 to 507 of the family's 1533-position model. The record is from RNAcentral.